This 468-nucleotide ribosomal RNA is filed under the name uncultured bacterium. RNAcentral describes it as "partial 16S ribosomal RNA". It matches the Rfam family "Bacterial small subunit ribosomal RNA", at positions 28 to 507 of the family's 1533-position model. The record is from RNAcentral.
GGCGAACGCUGGCGGCGUGCUUAACACAUGCAAGUCGAACGGAAAGGCCCUGCUUUUGUGGGGUGCUCGAGUGGCGAACGGGUGAGUAACACGUGAGUAACCUGCCCUUGACUUUGGGAUAACUUCAGGAAACUGGGGCUAAUACCGGAUAGGAGCUCCUGCUGCAUGGUGGGGGUUGGAAAGUUUCGGCGGUUGGGGAUGGACUCGCGGCUUAUCAGCUUGUUGGUGGGGUAGUGGCUUACCAAGGCUUUGACGGGUAGCCGGCCUGAGAGGGUGACCGGCCACAUUGGGACUGCGAUACGGCCCAGACUCCUACGGGAGGCAGCAGUGGGGAAUAUUGCACAAUGGGCGGAAGCCUGAUGCAGCAACGCCGCGUGCGUGAUGACGUCCUUCGGGUUGUAAACCGCUUUCGCCUGUGACGAAGCGUGAGUGACGGUAAUGGGUAAAGAAGCACCGGCUAACUACGUG